This is a long non-coding RNA of Heterocephalus glaber (naked mole-rat), 4265 nucleotides long. Lineage: Eukaryota; Metazoa; Chordata; Mammalia; Rodentia; Bathyergidae. The record is from Ensembl.
CAGAUCCACAGGCCCCGCCCAGGGAAGGGGGAUGACAGGAAUCUCCAACUCCGGAGCCUCGGGGACCAGGUCUCAGGAGAGGGCACAAGAAGUCAGCUCACAGUGAACACCACUGGCUUACCAAGCAGGACCAGCACCCAGCAGGAAGAGUGCAUGAGGGUAAUGGAAAGCGUCAUGAUAAGAGGCACCCAGGGAAGUGGAGGGGAUGGUGACAAAGAGGCCCCAGCUGACCCACAGAUGCAUGACAGGUCCUGCCAGCUGUCCCAAGUCCUCCGUCUGAGCCUGUUUUCACAUCUAUCCAAUCUCUACCUCUCCUGAUUCUUAUCAAAAUUAAAUGAAACAAAGAUGUCGAGUUCUGCCUACAUACUUGCUGAGUGGCUUAAUGACCUUUACAGAGAAGAAAACUGAGGCCAGAGGUCCCACAGCAAGUCAGUGGCUGCUGAUGCCCAGUUAAGGUCCUCUGUCCAGAACCACCACUCGGGGAACUUAUAAGUGGUUCCAGUAAUACAGGUGGGAAGAUGAGUGUGGGGAAUUCAAGGCAGGCCUCCUGGAGGGGGCUCACAAGAGGCGGCUCACAAGAGGCCAGAACUGGCUGAGCCAGGGGGAUCUGGGUGUGCUGGAGGCAAAGGCUAGGGAAGCAGGAGGGACCGACUCACCCUGAGCGGCCAUGUCCACCAGUUGAGGCAGCCGCAGGUACUUGCCCGUUUCCCCCUUGAGAAAGUCCAGCAAACUCCCUGGGCAAAAGACAGAGUCAGCUCCAGCCCUGCACCGUCCUUCUUUCGCUUCGAAAGAUGUAACUCCUGGCUCCUGUGGCCCACCCGGGCGCUGGCCCCGCCUUCACCAGCACAGGAGAAUCCCAUGCAAACCCAUCCCCAGCCUCAUUCAGCAGUUAUCUCUCUCAAGCAAACAGGGCAGGAAGCACCCCACCCCCACUGGCCCCCAAGGAUGAGAUGGCCCGGGUGUGUGAACACACUGGGACCCAACUUGGGAACAAGAGACCAGACCAAUGGGGCAUGGUAGUGCAUGCCUGUAAUCACAGCACUCUGGGAGGUGCAAAAGUUCCAGCCCAGCCUGGACAACUUCGUGAUGACAUUGCAGAGUAAACACAAGUCCACCAGGACAGAAAGCAGAUCAGAGCUUGUCUGGGUUUGGAGUGCAGGGUACUGUCUGCCAAGGGCAACAGGGAACUUUGUGGAUGAGGGAGACAGUGUGUGUCCUGAUUGUAAGGGAUACCUGGAGAAUCCCUUGGUCACGAUUCAUUCAACCAAAUACUAAAUAUCAUGUUUUUAAAAAUGGAAUUUUGAAUAAUUAAUUUUUAAAAUUAAGUCAAUAGCUGGGCGUGGUGACACACACCUGUAAACCCAGUACUCAGGAGGCUGAGGCAGGAGGAUUGCCUCGAGUUCGAGGCCAGUCUAGGAUACAUAGUAAGUUUAAGGCUAACCUGAACUACACAGUGAGACCCUGUCUUAAAAAAUAAAAAUAAAGGGGCCAGGGAUUUAGCUCAGUGGUGCUGCUGGCUGCCUCAAAGCCCAAAGUCCUGAGUUCAAUCCCCAGCACCAAAAACAAAAAAUAAAAAAGAUAAAAAUAAAAAUCAAGGGCGGGGAUUUAGCUCAGUGGUUCCACCACCUGCCUUGAAAGCGCAAGGUCCCAAGUUCAAUCCCCAGUACCAAAAAAAAAAAAAACCAACCAAAAAAUAAAAAUUAAGUCAAAGUCAGGCACCUGGCUCAAGUUCUCCUUUAGCCUGAGAAGAGCAAACAGCUUUAGAAAGCCAGCAAAUAAUGGAUGGUGAGAAACCACUGAGAACAAAGUGAGAAGGGAAAGACAAUUCUGCCUAAAUUCCCUCCAACUCGUGGGUUUGAUCCUGUGCGGUGCCACCUAUAAAAAGCCACCGGGGUAUGGGCGAAGUGGCACACACCUGUAAUCCCUGCACUCUGGGAGGCUGAGGCUGGGAGGGCACAAGUUCAAGCUCAGCCUGGGCAACUGGGUGCCUCAGGAAGACUCUGUUUCAAAAUAAAAAAGGUCUGGGGAUAUAGCUCAGUGUGAAGGCCCUGGGUUCAAUCUCCAAUACCAAAAAAGAAAAACAAAAGCACUUUGGGGAGGUGGGGAGGGCCCUGGCAGGCACCCCGGGCGCAUCAGGUCCACUAGGCUGGCCAGCCAGGCCUCACCCUUGCUCAUGUACUCUGUGACGAUGUAGAUGGGCUCCUCGGACACCACAGCGUACAGCUGCACCAGCUUCUCGUGCCUCAGUUUCUUCAUGACCUGGGCCUCCUGCAGGAAGGCCUCCGGAGACAUGGUGCCCGGCUUCAGGGUCUUGAUGGCCACCCUGGUGGUGCCGUUCCAGGUUCCUGCAGGGUAGAGACGAAGGCGGCCUCAGUGGAGACCCCGCUCUCACCAUCCAGGCAUGGGACUUGCCUGCCUAGGGGGACCAGGCUCAGCUCUGGCCUCCCUCACCAAGUGACAAGAGCAGCCAAGGGGGUCUCCUUCUGAACCUCUGUAUCCCCAUCUAUAAAACGGGUACAAGGACGAGGCGGUGCCUCACAGGGUUGUUACAGGCUGAAAUGAGGGCACUGCUCAGCAAACAGGAGCUGGGUCAGGACUCGGAUUAUGAGGAAUGUCCCUCAAAUGCCACACAGCAGUGGGACAGACAGAGACCACAGUUCCAACUCAAUGGCAUCUCCUGGUGCCCCUUCCUGCCAACUACAGCAUGGAAGGCACCCCAUUAUCAGCAAACAGAUAUGUCCUAGUGGGGGUCAGUGGGGGGGCAGAGUUGGGUCAGGGGCUGUUGCAGCCACCAGAACAAGAGGUGGCCUCCAGAGCCUACAGACCCUGAAAAGCAAGCUGCUGCACGAGGAAGAGCAAGGUAGGAGGCAGCUCAGCUGCAGCCCAGCUCCCCAGGAGGCGGCCAGGGUGAGGUGGGACCCCUUCCUCAGCCUCUCUCCCCAUCUGGAAGAGGGGAUCCUCUGUGGCUACCUGUGGGGCUCUCUGAGGACUCAAGGAGAUUUCAGCCACUGGGCCAGGCCCCCCGAGGCUCAGUGAGUGAGUGCAGCUUCACCCCUUGCGUGAGGACCUGGGAUUUCAUCAUACAGUAGUAGGUGACUACACCUGAGGGCCACCACUGGGGAGCUGCACAUUUAAAAGUGGGCCCCCUCUUUCAGUAGAGGCAACUAAAAGAAAAGGGAACCCGGGAGCCUUGAGCUGCCACCCAGGAGGGACCCUGCCUAUUCUCAGGUGACCACAUCAAACCCCUCCCCAGGCCAUGCCUCCGGGGGGCAGUGCUCCCUACCCAUCCACACCUCCCCAAAGCAGCCCUGGCCCAGCUUGACCUCCAGCCGCAGGGAUUCCCGGGGAUCUCCCAGGCAUCCUUGGCCAGGCCCUGGGUCUGUGGCUUGGACGUGGGGCACACGGUGGUGAGGCGGUGGCACAGGCCAUCAGCGUGUUCUGGAGAUGAGGCAGGGAGCAGAGCUCAGUGGGGCACAUGGGUGAGCUCACAGGAGGGCGCCCAUACCAACAUCUGCACCCACCCUGCCUGGGCCCUGCAGCCUUGUGAGAGGCUCACAGAGUCUGCCUUUCCUCCUUCACUCAUGGGGCUUGAAGAGUGCCAGGAACCCGGAGGGGGCAAGCACGUGGAACUGCCCUCAGGGAGCUCCCAGCCCAGGAGGAGCAGACUUCUGUCAGCCACCCCUCAGAGCCACAAACAUGGCCAGGGAGAGCUGUGCGUGCAUGAGUGUAUGGGGUGGGCUGCACACAGGGGCUGCGGGUUCUCGGUCUCUAUCCUAAAACAGCCCCUGGAGGGUGGGUCCGGGGGACAGGACCAAGCAUUCGCCCCAGAGUGGUGGGGAUCCUAGAGGAGGGUGAGUGGCCCCGUUGAGAGGAGGAGGUGCCAGGUAAGAGGUGGGCCACACAGGCACACACAGGCCCUGGGUAUCCAGGUAGGUGGCCCCACUGCAGCACCCAGCACCUGCCCCACCCCACCAGCACCCUGGCUCAAGUGCUCCCUCUGCCACCCUCUCCUCCAACUUGGCUAUAAUCAAUGUAGCUGCCCCUUCUGCUCUCCUAGUAACCGGUUCAGACCGGUCCUGAGGCUGCAGAGACAAUCAACUCCAGCCCCUGUCCCCUCCCUUUCAGCUUGCUCAAGGCAGCCCCCUCCUCACCAGCCAGCUACAGUGGAGGAGGAGGGAUGGGCAGGGGCUCAGGGAAGACAAGGAGGAAAGAUGAGGCAGGGGGAGAGGAGUGGAAGGCAGUGGUGCCACAGGGGCGGGAAGGAG